UACGGAGGAUGCAAGCGUUAUCCGGAUUUAUUGGGUUUAAAGGGUGCGCAGGUUGUUUGAUAAGUCAGUGGUGAAAGUCUGUCGCUUAACGGUAGGAUUGCCAUUGAUACUGUUGGACUUGAAUAUGGAUGAGGUAGGCGGAAUGUGUAGUGUAGCGGUGAAAUGCAUAGAUAUUACACAGAACACCGGUUGCGAAGGCAGCUUACUAAUCCAUCAUUGACGCUGAGGCACGAAAGCGUGGGGAGUCAAACAGGAUUA
Molecule: ribosomal RNA, 258 nt
Filed under: uncultured prokaryote
Description: partial 16S ribosomal RNA
Rfam family: Bacterial small subunit ribosomal RNA
Source: RNAcentral